UACGUAGGGGGCAAGCGUUAUCCGGAUUUACUGGGUGUAAAGGGGGCGCAGACGGCGAUGCAAGCCAGGAGUGAAAGCCCGGGGCCCAACCCCGGGACUGCUCUUGGAACUGCGUGGCUGGAGUGCAGGAGGGGCAGGCGGAAUUCCUGGAGUAGCGGUGAAAUGCGUAGAUAUCAGGAGGAACACCGGUGGCGAAGGCGGCCUGCUGGACUGCAACUGACGUUGAGGCCCGAAAGCGUGGGGAGCAAACAGG
RNAcentral lists this ribosomal RNA (253 nucleotides) under uncultured bacterium. Its description in RNAcentral is "partial 16S ribosomal RNA". It matches the Rfam family "Bacterial small subunit ribosomal RNA", at positions 524 to 776 of the family's 1533-position model. The record is from RNAcentral.